AGUCAGUUUAGUGGUACAAAUAAAGCAAAUAGGAAAGGGACGAAGCGGAGCCACACUGUCGCCACUGGAGAUCCUGAUUUUGGUCCAGUGACGUCAGCGAACACUGCAAGAGCUCUUGCAUUUAACAGCCACGCUCCUGUUGAAGAUCAUGAUACAUCUACUCCUGUUGCUA
Long non-coding RNA from Corticium candelabrum, 172 nucleotides. RefSeq lists it as uncharacterized. The record is from RefSeq and is a predicted model, not a curated record. Lineage: Eukaryota; Metazoa; Porifera; Homoscleromorpha; Homosclerophorida; Plakinidae. The transcript is spliced from 3 exons.